GUGAAUCAUCAAAUUUUUGAACGCAAAUUGCACUCUCCUCGGAGAGUAUCCCUGUUUGAGGGUCAGCCUAUAAAAAAUCGACAUCGUUGCUGUUUCGCGGUGGCGUUCGUCGGAAAUUGGGUUAUCUUAAAUCCCUUUGGGUUUUAAGCGACUUAAAAUUUUCUUUUUGGUUCCAUGAACGUUUCUAAGAUUUAUUUCUUUACACGUUUAAGGGUAUCGAUUUUAUUAGACGUGGCCGUCAUAUCGGAUCGCGUCCAUAAUCUUUCAUUAACUGACCUCAGACAGGUAAGAGUACCCG
RNAcentral lists this unclassified non-coding RNA (298 nucleotides) under Glomeraceae sp. RNAcentral describes it as "partial contains 5.8S ribosomal RNA and internal transcribed spacer 2". The stretch from base 1 to 65 matches the Rfam family "5.8S ribosomal RNA", at positions 84 to 154 of the family's 154-position model. The record is from RNAcentral. Lineage: Eukaryota; Fungi; Glomeromycota; Glomeromycetes; Glomerales; Glomeraceae.